This 4566-nucleotide long non-coding RNA is filed under the name Sus scrofa (pig). RNAcentral describes it as "lncRNA (ENSSSCG00040049120.1)". Lineage: Eukaryota; Metazoa; Chordata; Mammalia; Artiodactyla; Suidae. The record is from RNAcentral.
UUUUUUUUUUUGGGUAAAUGUCACUGAGGUAUUACAUACAUAUAAGAAAAGUUCAUAAAGCACAGGUCCCAGGUUUCAUGAAUUUUCACAAACUGAACACAUCCAGGUCAUCAGCAUCCAGGUCCAGAAACAGAACACUAGCAGGACCCCUUCAAAGGUGGCCUUUAAAAAAUUCCAACCAAGGUGACUCUGUUCACUAAGCCAGUGUUCCCCAGGCUGUGACCAGCCUAAGAGGCACCUUUUCCAAGUCUGCACAAGAAUCUUCUAUGCGCUCGUGAUGUCUGCAGACAGGUGGGCACGCCCCUCGAGAACGUACCACCCACAGAGAGGGACAGGUAGGGACUGAGGUGACAACCACAGGAUGCAGGAUGGGGCAAGUGACACUGCAGAGAGGGAGGCCCUCCUAGGUCCACACCCCUCCUCUCUCCCUGACUCAGUCCCAUCUCCUCCCCACAUUAAUAUCACAUCCUCUCACUAUCGGAGCUGGGAGGGGACACCAGGAUGAGACGCUCACUGUCCAUGGGACAGGAAGAAGCAACCAGGGUCACUGUCUUGCGUUUGAAUGUUGCCAUUUGGCUGCUAGGCGAAUAGUGGAAGUGAGUACGUUUUAGUGCUUCAUGGAAAAGAUCACUAUUGAGACAUCUGAGGCUUCCUCACCUGACUUCUCGAGAGCCUGAGGAAAGGAGCCUGAUCAGGCCCUCCCCUGGCACAUGUUAAUUCUUUUCAAAGUGGCACACACCUUCUGCCCAUCACCAGACUCACAUGCCACAAGGACUGGACCCCAGAGCGCCGUCCCUAGAGCAAAACUGAGACUGCUCAAGGGAUACUAAAAUGCGGACUAGAUGAAUGCAAAGGCUAUAAAAAAAAAAAAAAGAAAAAUAUGCUAUAACUGGGAGUGGUUAAUGUCAUGGUCCAGUGGUUAAUGAAUCUGACAAGGAACCAUGAGAUGUUCCAUUUUCUACUUAAUGUUCCUUUCCAAUGAAGUUUCAAGAUGAGUGUCUAGGAUGCCCUGCCUACCUGGCAGCCCUCGAAGGACCAGAAUCUGGACCUCUCGCCAGAGAACAUGGUUGGAAGGUGGGGUUUCAUCAGAAAAUAUGCAGCAAUCAUAUAGAUAACUGUUCUUUCCCAAAAGCUCCAAGGUUUGCAAACAUAAAGUUCUCAUUCAUCUUACUGCUGAGCAUUUUUUUUUUUUUGUCUUUUCUAGGGCUGCACCAGCGGCAUAUGGAGGUUCCCAGGCUAGGGGUCUAAUCAGAGCUGUGGCUGCCGGCCUAUGCCACAGCCACAGUAAUGCGGGAUCCGAGCCACAUCUGUGACCUACACCACAGCUCACGGCAACGCCAGAUACUUAACUCACUGAGCGAAGCCAGGGAUCGAACCCACAACCUCAUGGUUCCUAGUCAGAUUCGUUAACCUCUGAGCCACAACAGGAACUCCUGCUGAGCACUUCUCAGUCAGUGGAAUGUUCAAGUUCAAGGUCAGGAAGAGAAUCAACAGUGAGGGAAAGAUGGGAGAGUUCAGCGUGGGAGCUGCAGACCUGGGCGUCCUGCUGGGCCAGGUGCUUGCCAUCUCUUCAAGGGACACUUGCAGGACUGUUCUACCCAGUUCUAUGCCUCAGACCUCACCUGCUCUCCUGAUUCGUGUUUCCUCCUCUGCCUCACACUCCUGGUCCCCACUUCCAUUUGCUGACAUCUCCCCCCUAAUGAACUAUUCAAUCUCUGGUCUUGGCUCUGCUGUUUCAGGGCGUCCCGAGCCACACAGGCGGGAUCCCUGCAUGUGUCCAAGCCAGGGCUGUGUGCACAGGGGCUGCCAGGGGACAGCACUUUGCCUACCCAGGAUAGGAAGUUCCUGGGCCCCCCUCCACCACUGAAGACAGGAAGAGAAGAAAUGGCUUGCAGGCCUCUGCUCUCCCUCCAAUAACUAAUACUUCAGGGAGCGUUUGCUAGGUGCCGGAAUUAUGCUAAUUUGCAGGGUUAAAUUUCAGGAGAUCCUGGACUGCUUCCUGCGAAAUGGGCUCUAGUGUCCCCCAGAGUGUCCUAAAGCUUCAGGAUGAUAUGCUACCAAAUUGGGAGAUGGAGGUGGGGUCCCAGAUUUGACCCCAAGGUGGUUUGAGUCCCACCUCACACCCCUGCCCAUGACCAUGGGGCACAAGCCCCGGAAGGCAGCAUGGACUUGGGGAACCAUGAGAGACUUCUUCUGGGGAGAAAGGACAGAUAACCAGCUCUUUGAUGCCGUGACUUCAGGGUGCAGAGACGUUGCAUGCCAUCCUGGCAGGGACAUAUGGCGCUGAAGUAAGGCAGGACCAGGGUUGCAUGAAGGAGCAGCCAUGUCCCUUCUCUGACACCCGAGAUUUUGUUUCCAUAUUGGAAAAUGUGGAUUAUAAAAACUAUUUUACACUUAUUACUGAGAUUAAAAGAUUACACAAAGUAAGCACCUGUGACUUGUACAUAAUAAGUGCCCAAUGUGUGGCAGCCAUCCGUGCUGACAUUGUUCUUAGUGAUGCUAAAAUAGCCUCAGAGCAUUGCAUCUGUCCUCGUGCCUGGCGCUGAAGGUCUGGAGACCAGGUGCUGGACUGGGCAGGACUGGUGGGGACCCUGGAUGCUGCAUUUGGGAAAGAGGAGUGGCCACUGCCAUAGGCCUUCCCUAGGACUCAGAACCAGCUAAGGCAGGAGGAGCUGGAGGCAGUGGCUCUCGGGGCCCAAGUCACUAUACAGAAGGGUGCCUGCUGAACACGGCAUCAGACCUUUCCAGAGUGAGAAUCAAGCUUCUACAGCAUUAAACCAAUGAAAUCUGGGGUUCUCUCUCUGUCGGCAGCUAGGGAUACCUUAAGAAAUUCAACAAGGUACUUUCUGAGCAUCCUUCCACCUUUAUGGGAUCCAGAAGGUGGAUGGACGUGCUUUCCAUACCCACAUCCAAGUCACACGGGGGAGAUGCUGAACCACGGAGCCCUGCAGUCAAAGGCCAGGCUCGGCCUGGGGGAAGCUGCUUCAUGACCAAAGUGGCAUGAGCUGGUGGCAGAUGCUGGCAGCAGUGAGCUCUGUGGGCAGGCCAUUUGACACAGGCUCUGUUGUUCACAUGUUUGCCACUCUGUCACACGCAGUUAACAGAGCUCAACAGGACCUGACAGAAAAUCACUACAACCAGAGCAUUCUAUGGAUUUGUCCAAAGCCCAAUAGCCAGUUAGUGGCAAAGCUAAAAUCUCUUGGUUUUGUAGCCCAGAAGGUCCCCCCUAGAGGCAGACGUUCUCAUAGAAUGUGUCAAGGUCACAUGAAGGGCACUCUCUUUCUGAUAUUUACUGCUCCAAGGGAACACCCAGAUCAUCUGAAGGCAGAGAAUAACUGUAACUCCCUCCCUCCCAGGACAGUGCCCCCAAUAAAUCCCCGAAGACAUGUCCCCAGACAACAGGCUUCAGCCAGUGACCAAAUCCAACACCUGCCUGCAGGCAAAGGGUGGACUGAGAAUGACCACCUUUGUUCUUACUGCCAGGAAAGGGAAAGUCUGUAAUUAUACCAACCCUAAGGAGAGACAUGGAUUUCCCAACUUUCACACUUUUUCACCUGUAAAUAUUAGCUUUCCCAUUGAAGCAGCUUAUACGCCAUUUCCCAUGCUUUCCAACAUUGAAUUAAAAGGCUGCCAGCACUCCCUGCACCUGCCCUUCCAAAGCUGCCUCAGAAUAAGCUUUCUCUGCCGAUGCAGCCUCUUCCCUCCUGCAUGUUUGCAAGGGUCACGGAAGCCACACUCAUAAAGGCAGCCUGGGGUCCUGGACAGAGUCAGAGUGAGUCAGAAUUCGAGUGCUGAAGGCUUGUCAGACUCUGUCCACAUCUGGACAAUGGAGAUAAAGGUCAUGGGAGUCUCCGCAAAGGGUUCUUACAAGAAGAGCGAGAUCCCAGGACCUGGUACAUAACACCUGCUCUUUUCUUUUUACGUACUUACUAAAUGAGUUAAACCUUAGAAGAUGAAUCUUUUUAUAAGAGGUUGUAGCAGAGGCUGCUGGCGGGCUGCCCACGGCCCCUCACCUUGACCAAUGCAGUGCACACCUGCCUGACUUCCGCCGGCUGACACCUGUGAGUCUCUGCCUGGGGGCUGAUGUGGGCUGUCAGAGACAACUCUGUUCUCGGCCAGAAACUCCAGGGGCCCAAUGUCCCCCAGAGCCCCUCUCAGCCAACAGCUGGCAGGAGCUGUGGAUAAACAUCCACUUCCUCAUUUCCUGUGUGUGUCCCAUACCCCACCCCCCAUGUCCCCAGUGGGACUGAGGUGCUGUCACCCCCAGGAGUCAAGGGAUAGCUGUUUGGAAGGGCAGAUCAGGGGGUGGGAAAGUGAGACAAGGAUGGGAAGACAACAAGAGAGGGUCCAUCAUUAAGGAAGUUAGAACUGUGGGUUAGAACUUCCUUAAUGAUUCAUUCAUCUCUCUUCUUCCCAUCCCUAUCUCAUUUUCCCCCUCCCUGAACUGCACGGCCAAACAAAUGACAUGCCCUUGAAUCUCUGUCCCUGGGACCUGUAGCCAGAGACCAGGUGGAAUGGGUGCCGUCGAGGGAAUACAGGUGGGGCACUCGCAACUAGACAUCAUAU